RNAcentral lists this transfer RNA (85 nucleotides) under Pseudomonadota bacterium. Its description in RNAcentral is "tRNA-Leu". It matches the Rfam family "tRNA". Rfam says of the family: Transfer RNA (tRNA) molecules are approximately 80 nucleotides in length. Lineage: Bacteria; Pseudomonadati; Pseudomonadota. RNAcentral also lists the same sequence under 2 other names. The record is from RNAcentral.
GCAGGAGUGGCGGAACUGGCAUACGCGACGGGCUGAGGACCCGUGCCCCGUAAGGGGCGUGGGGGUUCGAGUCCCCCCUCCUGCA